AGGAAUAUUGGUCAAUGGGCGAGAGUCUGAACCAGCCAAGUAGCGUGAAGGAUGACUGCCCUAUGGGUUGUAAACUUCUUUUAUAAAGGAAUAAAGUCGGGUAUGGAUACCCGUUUGCAUGUACUUUAUGAAUAAGGAUCGGCUAACUCCGUGCCAGCAGCCGCGGUAAUACGGAGGAUCCGAGCGUUAUCCGGAUUUAUUGGGUUUAAAGGGAGCGUAGAUGGAUGUUUAAGUCAGUUGUGAAAGUUUGCGGCUCAACCGUAAAAUUGCAGUUGAUACUGGAUAUCUUGAGUGCAGUUGAGGCAGGCGGAAUUCGUGGUGUAGCGGUGAAAUGCUUAGAUAUCACGAAGAACUCCGAUUGCGAAGGCAGCCUGCUAAGCUGCAACUGACAUUGAGGCUCGAAAGUGUGGGUAUCAAACAGGAUUAGAUACCCUGGUAGUCCACACGGUAAACGAUGAAUACUCGCUGUUUGCGAUAUACUGCAAGCGGCCAAGCGAAAGCGUUAAGUAUUCCACCUGGGGAGUACGCCGGCAACGGUGAAACUCAAAGGAAUUGACGGGGGCCCGCACAAGCGGAGGAACAUGUGGUUUAAUUCGAUGAUACGCGAGGAACCUUACCCGGGCUUAAAUUGCAGAUGAAUUACGGUGAAAGCCGUAAGCCGCAAGGCAUCUGUGAAGGUGCUGCAUGGUUGUCGUCAGCUCGUGCCGUGAGGUGUCGGCUUAAGUGCCAUAACGAGCGCAACCCUUGUUGUCAGUUACUAACAGGUUCCGCUGAGGACUCUGACAAGACUGCCAUCGUAAGAUGUGAGGAAGGUGGGGAUGACGUCAAAUCAGCACGGCCCUUACGUCCGGGGCUACACACGUGUUACAAUGGGGGGUACAGAAGGCCGCUACCUGGUGACAGGAUGCCAAUCCCAAAAACCUCUCUCAGUUCGGAUCGAAGUCUGCAACCCGACUUCGUGAAGCUGGAUUCGCUAGUAAUCGCGCAUCAGCCAUGGCGCGGUGAAUACGUUCCCG
This 1016-nucleotide ribosomal RNA is filed under the name uncultured bacterium. RNAcentral describes it as "bacterial SSU rRNA". It matches the Rfam family "Bacterial small subunit ribosomal RNA", at positions 357 to 1376 of the family's 1533-position model. The record is from RNAcentral.